Molecule: ribosomal RNA, 458 nt
Filed under: Ixodes lividus
Lineage: Eukaryota; Metazoa; Arthropoda; Arachnida; Ixodida; Ixodidae
Description: partial 16S ribosomal RNA
Rfam family: Bacterial large subunit ribosomal RNA (bases 313-458)
Source: RNAcentral
GCUCAAUGAUUUUUUAAAUUGCUGUGGUAUUUUGACUAUACGAAGGUAUUGAAAUAAGGCUUUAAUGAGUGCUAAGAGAAUGGUAUAACAAUUAUAAGCUUUCUUUGGUUAAAAAAUUAAAUUUAAUUUUUUUUGUGAAGAAGCAAAAAUAUAAAUUAGGGACAAGAAGACCCUAUGAAUUUUGAAUUAAAUAUAAUAACUUAAUUAAAUUAUUAUAUUUAAAUUAAUUGGGGUGAUUUGGAAAGAGUAUAUAUCUUUUUAGUUAGUUAAAUUGUUCCGUUUUUAACGAUUUUAUGAAUAAAAUACUCUAGGGAUAACAGCGUAAUAAUUUUGGAUAGUUCAUAUAGAUAAAAUAGUUUGCGACCUCGAUGUUGGAUUAGGAUUCUUUUUUAAUGAAGAAAUUAAAGAAAAGAAGUUUGUUCAACUUUUAAAUUCCUACUUGAUCUGAGUUCAGACCG